Molecule: long non-coding RNA, 8694 nt
Filed under: Triticum aestivum (bread wheat)
Lineage: Eukaryota; Viridiplantae; Streptophyta; Magnoliopsida; Poales; Poaceae
Description: long non-coding RNA (TAES_LNC007700)
Source: RNAcentral
ACAUAACCGCGGGCACGGCUCUCGAAAGUUUAUAACCCUGUAGGGGUGUCCCAACUUAGCCCAUGACAAGCUCUCGCGAUCAACGAAGGAAUAGACCUUCACCCGAGACACUUCGAUCAGACUCGGUAUCCCGGUACAUCAAGACAUUUCGACAAUGGUAAAACAAGACCAGCAAAGCCGCCCGAAUGUGCCGACAAAUCCUGAUAGGAGCUGCACAUAUCUCGUUCUUAGGGCACAUCGGAUUGUCCAAACUUCCGGUAGGCCAGCCCAGAGUUGCCCCUGAUGGNNNNNNNNNNNNNNNNNNNNNNNNNNNNNNNNNNNNNNNNNNNNNNNNNNNNNNNNNNNNNNNNNNNNNNNNNNNNNNNNNNNNNNNNNNNNNNNNNNNNNNNNNNNNNNNNNNNNNNNNNNNNNNNNNNNNNNNNNNNNNNNNNNNNNNNNNNNNNNNNNNNNNNNNNNNNNNNNNNNNNNNNNNNNNNNNNNNNNNNNNNNNNNNNNNNNNNNNNNNNNNNNNNNNNNNNNNNNNNNNNNNNNNNNNNNNNNNNNNNNNNNNNNNNNNNNNNNNNNNNNNNNNNNNNNNNNNNNNNNNNNNNNNNNNNNNNNNNNNNNNNNNNNNNNNGCUAGGUGAGGCAAAUGGUAAAACCAAGGUUGGGCCUUGCUGGACAAGUUUUAUUCAAAGCGAACUGUCAGGGGGUCCCAUAAAUCACCCGACCGUGUAAGGAACGCAAAAUCCGGGAACAUAACACCGGUAUGACGGAAACUAGGGCGGCAAGAGUGGAACAAAACACCAGGCAUAAGGUCGAGCCUUCCACCCUUUACCAAAUAUAUAGAUGCAUUAAUAAUAUAAGAGAUAUUGUGAUAUCCCAACAAAACCCUGUCCACCAUGGAGCAAUCUUCAACUUCACCUGCAGCUAGCAACGCUAUAAGAGGGGUUGAGCAAAGCGGUAACAUAGCCAAUCAAUGGUUUGCUGGGAAUGGUGUCAAAUGUUGGAGGGUCAUGGCAAUUUGGGAGGCUGACAAGCAAAUGGUAGGCAUCGUAGCAUUGGCAUAGCAAAAGAGCGAGCAAACUAGCAUAGCAAAGAUAGUAGUGAUUUCGAGGGUAUGGUCAUCUUGCCUGAAAUCCCGCAAGGAAGAAGAACGAGUCCAUGAAGAAGACCAACGGGCGAAGAUGAACGAAUCCUCACAACUCCGGAACGAAACCGAAGCUAACGAGAGAAGCAACCCGGAAAGAAACAAACGACAUAGUAAACAACCAUCACAUAAACAUGGCAUGAUGCGCAAACAAGUAUGAUGCAUGCCCGGUUUAAAUAGCAUGGCAUGGCGAUAUGCACAAACAAAACUACAAGUUAAAUGGAGCCCAAUAUGCAACGAGUUGCAUAUUGACGAAACACCACAUCAAUUAUUUAGUUCUCUCUCGGUUAUGCUACCCAACAAUAUUAAUUGUUGUUAAACAUGGCAAGAGGUGAAGCAUAAUAUAAACUACCUAUCCAGGCAAGUUUAAAUGAGGCCGGAAACAACAAACGAUAAUUCCGGAAAAUCCUCAUGUCAUUUAGCAAUUUAAUGCAACAACAAGUUUAAAACAUUUUAAUUGUUGUUAUCAUGAUGCGGAUGACAUAUGCAAGUUUUAUGCAAUUUUAUGAAAAUGUUGACAUGAGCAUGUUACGAAGCAUUUGUCGCCAUGGCGGAACGAAAAGGGUGCCACGGCGGUGAAACAAAAAUGGUGCCACGGCAACAUAUCCGAAAAUGAUGCCACGGCAACAUAUCGGUUCCGGUAGCUCACGGAGAUACCGGUGCAAAAGGGAGCGUGCGGAUGUGCGCAACAUGCUGGAGAUGGUGGGGUGCUCCCGACUACCGGGUUCCCACGGGUUAGUGGCAUGGAAACGAGUGACAAUUCGGACACGGUGCAAACGUAGGGUGCAUCUCAUACAACACAUGCAUUCGGUCCACGGACGGCGUCUCGGGGUUAUACCUUUGAAGCGUGCUUUUUCGGAGCGGGUCGAGUUUGUAGGGGAAGUAGUCGUUCACGCGAUGUAGUGGAAGUAGUGGUUCGCGUGGCGGCGGUAGUAGAAGUAGUGGUUCAUGUUUCGUAGAUGUUCGGGGUCACGAAGAGGAACUUGACGUCCACGGAGUCUUCGAGGGUCGACAGUAGUGGUACACACGUUGCCGGGGUACUUGUCGGUCCGGUCUUGGCGACGGUAGUUGUACACGAGUUGUAGUCGAACUUGAUGGAGAAAACGUCCUCGAGGGUAGUCGUGGUACUUGGGGUCUUCGGACUUGCCGGUCUCGGUUCUUGCGACGGUAGUGGUACAUGGCAACGGUAGUCGAACUUGGUGGUCUUGGCGUUUCAGGUCUCGCAGUGUAGUCGAACUUGGUGGCCUUGACGAACCGAAGUGGUAGUAGGCGAGAUACACGAUCACGCUAGUCCCCGGAGAUGGAGUUUCGUGUCCAAAACUUGACGGGUGCAGGAGAUCUCGGGGAGGAAGGGGCUCGGUUCAUGCAAAGGUUGCGGAGGGGCUGGCCAUGGCGUCGGGCAGGCCUUCCCGAGGUGGUGCAGGUGGCCCAUGGAGAGGUGCAGCAGUACAGAGCUCGACGGAGCAAGGUGGACGCCAUGGGGAGAGGCGGCACUGGAGGUGGCCAGAGGAAGCGAGGAGGAGGCGGACUUGACACGAGCUCCCGGCGAUGGGGCAUGAUGUAGGGGAGGCAGAUGAGGUCCCGGACGGCAGCCUGGGGGUGGAUCCGGGCGGCGGCUGCGCCGAGCUUGAAGAUGACGACGGCUGCGACACGGGGCAGCACUGGAGGAUGGCCGGAGCCGGGCGUGGCGGAGCUCCUGGUGGUGGUGGUCGACGCCGGCGGGCGUACUUGCUGGAAGGAGGCGCGAUGGAGGAGAGUCGACGAGGCGGCGCUCGCCGGAGUCGGGGCCGAAGGGAACGGGUCGAGGGGCUCCUCCCCUGGCGACGAAGCUAACGAGGUGAUGGCACCGGGUAGACGAGGAGGCAGGCGAGGAGGUCCUGGCCCGGUGGCGAGCUUGAGGCGAUCGGGCGCGGGCGCUCCUCUCGUGUGCGAUGCGUGUGUGUGGCGGCGGUGGUGGGAGGAUGAGAGGGAGCGAGUGAGAGGAGGGAAUCGGUCUCCUGGCGGCUAGGGUUAGAGGGGUCGGCUGGGCCUUGGGCCGCAGCUACAGGAGACCCAAAUGGUCGGCUGGGCUGGGCUGGGCUGGAAUCUCUCUCUCCCUCACACACAUGACAAAAGAGAGAAAAAAAGAAAGAAAGAAAAGGAAGGAAAGAAAAAGGUUAGAGAAGGGACUUGGGCAUGGGGAUUAUUUUCCCGGACUCAUAAAAAUGAGCUCGAUCCAGGAAAAAUAGAAAGAGGCAUGAUUGAAAGAUUUAAAUUCAAACUCAUUUGGAUUUAAUUCAAAUGGGUUUGAACUAGGACUUGAUAAAAGGAAGGUCCAAAAAUGUUCGGAUUUUUGGUGGAGCUCCGGAAAAUGAUGAAAGAAAUUAUGGGCAAGGUUGGAGACCAAGAAUUAAGAUAACAAAGGCAUGGGAUAUUUUGCAGUGUGUUAUGGUGAUCUCCAAAAAAUGAAAUAUUUAUUAUAGCUCCCUAAAUAUCGAGAGGAUAUGUUUUAAAUAGAAUCACCAUGUGAAUUCCCUCGAUUUAAAUGGAUCAAAGAUCCAUGCCAUUUAUUUAGUUGAGUUGCAAAAGAUUAAUGACAUGAUGGCAUGAUGACAUGAUGCAAUGCAAAAAAAAAACAAAUCACACGACAAAACUCGGAAUAUCUGGAAGUCUUCUGGAGCAUCGGUCUCGGGGCGUCACAACACUCCACCACUACAAGAGGAUCUCGUCCCGAGAUCUAGAAUGGCACCAGAGGGAAAACGGAAGAGAAAAAGAAAGGUAAAACUAAGUUGCUUCUUUGACAACCGAGUGAAACCAAAGAACCUUGAGAGGUUGAACAAAAUGAAAGAAAGAAAACAACUAAGAUGAACAAAGUUGAAAACACUCUGUUAGAAAAGAGGAACAUGGGAUACGACGAGAACCAAGAGGUUUAGUGAUAAGAUAGGUAUUGAAACCACUCCGGCUAAAACAAGAUAGAGUAGGAAUAAGAAUGAUAUAAUUUGGGCAGCACACCGACUGAAAAUGGAAGGAAUUAGAAUCAUGAACUUGAGAAGAUAAGAGGAUACUUGAUGAAAUGAACAACACACUGCCUCCGGAACUAUUGAAAGAAUGGCACAAGGGGUAAGAAAGAUUUCAGAUAGCACUAAGGUUGAAAAGAGAGGCAAAACUUGAUAAGAUGAAAGAACUUGAAGAGAUGACAUAACACUUCGGUUAAAUGGAUAAGCAUGAAAAGAACACGAUCCUGACAAAACAAGAUGAUUGUUGAAGAGCACAACAUCACAAUGACUCCGGAACGAAAGAAUAGAAGCUAGACCGUUGGGAUAAAGGGACGGAGAAGAAAAUGACAACUUCUACCACAAUUGAAUUGGAAGGCAUCCUUGCAAGAAGGUUAGAAUAGAGUUGUUGGAAGACCAACAACGAAAAGAAUAAGUUUGUAGUGGGCUUAUGGAAACAUCUCAACAUUAUGAGGUGAACACCCGGCCACUAACGGAAACAAUUGCUUGCUUGAGAUUAACGAAGAGAUGAAAGCUUGUUCCAUCAAGAUGGAAAAGAGAUAACUUGGAUCAUUGACAAGCACCACAAAUAGCAACAUUCACAAUGGAAGGCUUUAGGUGAAAUCUAUACCAAGAUAACUCCAAAGAAGAGAUUGAUGGAUUUAAAUAUCUCAUUCUUGACAACAUGAAUAACCAAGGGAAAUUGUCAAGAGUGACAUAACACCAUCUCAAAAGAUAAGGUAGAAAAAAUUGCACUUUGGAAUGCAUGAUAAAGAAUGCUUGAACUACUCAAAACAAAACAUGCGUUUAGCACCAUGUUUAUUUUGAAGUAUGGCUUGACGGAUCUUAACUUCGAGAGAAAUCUUGAUGAACAAUUGAAGAAUGAAAAGAAUCCUUGACGAAGCACCAUGUAGAGCCUCCAAGAAGAACUCCGGUAAACAAAAGGGUGAUAGAAAGAAAGAGAAGUUGAAAACACAAGGUGAAGCCUUGCAAUGAUUUAGAUGGAGCUUCGCGAUUAUAUAACCGAGAGAACUUGGAACUCCAAAAAAAAAGGAUGAGCAAUUGAAACCAAGAAUUUUUUGAUGAACCUUCGGAAUAAGGAAUUGAAUUUACUCUAUUAAACAAGAAUAAGAAUUACAUUAUGCUUAUCCCUCAUCAAUUAAAUUGAUGACAAGCAAUGGAUUUGGCAUACUACUUAUUCUCGUAGAAAGGAUUAAGAGAGAUAUAGCACAAACUUGAGAAGGUAUUGAUGGAACCACCGGUGGGAUUUGGAAACAACAAGUGAAUUGAUAUGAUAACGAAGGAAGUGAAAUCUUGAACGAACCACCGUAAGAAUUGAAAAUGAACAUAGCAAAGGCACAAUUCACCGGGAAGAAUUGGAAAACGAAUGAAGAUAUUUGAGGGGAUUUCGAUACAUGAGAACGAAGAGAACAUGAACUGAUUAGAGGAUAUUUGAACAAAUCACCGGUAAGAUUUGGAGAACGAUAGCUACCCGCUGAGAAUGAAGAAUUAUGACAUGAUGGCCUUCGGAGGAAAGAAAUGGAAACAACUCAUGAAAUGCUCCGGAUGGUAAGAAAAGAAUUUUCACAAUCGAAAACAAUUAUGAGAGGAUGGCAUCAAGCUAGAACCAUGAAUCUUGAAGAGAAUAGAGCAAGAUUAAAGAGAAACUCUUUUUCGGUCUUCAAAUGAUGAGAAUGACAACGAGAAACACCACCAAGAAUUAUUGAGGCACAUCGGAAGAAUAAAAAACGAAGAGGUUGAGCCAACUAUGAAAAGAAUUUGAAAGAUCUUGGAGAAAAGCAUUUGACUGAUGAUAACUCAUUCUUACAUCAAACUUGGAGAAGAAUUUAGGAUAGUUCUGGGAAAAUAGAAGAGUCAGGUAAGAUCCUGGGAAAAGACCUGUGGGUUAGGGCCCACUCAAAAGAAAACACCGUUGAAAAGAUUUAAAAGAGAUGUUGCACCGGUUGAAUUAAAUGACUUGAAUGAGAUACCAAUCUCGAAAGAGCUUGAACGAAUGUAGAGUGGAAACACGAAUCUUCGAGAUAUCUUGAGCACUCCGGAAUAACAAAUAGCGAGAAGUAGAAUGAUAAUGAGGUGCACCGGUAUGAGAAGACAUUGAAAUGAGGAAAAAGGUAUGAUCAACAAAACUUGACUUGAAUCCACCGGAGAAGAGAAAAGAAUGAGGAAUGACGAACUAGUAGAACAUCUUCUUGAGAACCACCGGGUAAGAACAUUGACAGAAAAGAAUGGAGAAACUUCACAAAAAUAAAAGGAUACUUGGUAAAGAAAUCUUAGUCCUUGAGGAAAAAGGGUGGGUGGGCGGGAAAAAAAACAAAGGCAACUUGGAGACGGAUGAAACAAACACCGUUGAGAAGAAAUGAUAAUUGGUGUUGCUGAUGUUGAAGUGAUCGGAUCCACUUGAAGAGAAACACGCCGGUUGAAAAGGAUUGACAUGACAAUCUCGAUUGUCGAGAAGGAUUGGUAUUCACAUCAGAGUAUGAGAACACCAUUUCGGAAAGGUAUGGAAUCAACACUUGACAUUGAAGCAACUCGAAUACCACAACUCAAAACAAAAACAAAGGAAUGGCUUGCAGAAUAAGCCGGAACAAACAUAUGAUAGAGAUUUCGUCCGAAGUUUUCAUGGUGGGGCCUACACGGGCUCAAUCGUACAACACCAUCAUGUACAAGGCAGUGCACAUGACAUACGAAGCGUCCCCGAGUCGGCAUAGCCAAGGACUCUUUAAGACACAACGAGACCACUGUAAAACCAACCGUGAAUAGGCGGACCACUAGACGUCGAACCCCAAUUUCAUAUCAUACAUCCGUCGGAAAGAUAUCCUAAGAGCUACUUGAAUUCCCACCUAUGAAACUCCCGAAACUUUCCGGUUAUGCAAUCAGGUGUUGGGGAUACAGGGGAAGCAUAAUAUCUCACCCAAAACUAGCAAAUCCUACAUCCAGCUGUAUCCAUCCUUCAACACAUAACCAAGAAACCUUCGGAAAUCGUGUACCUCAACCUUCGAAAAGCAUCCGUUAUACGAGUCAUGGCAAUACUCCCGUACUCACCUCAGUACUGGGUUAUCGGGGUUAUCUCACCAACAACUGCAUAAAAGAGAUUUUCGAUGUCGGCGUACUAAACUCAGGUAUUCCAGAACUGCAACGAUAAAAUUAUGACGACAACACCUCAGAGCUCAACUCCCCGGGACACUUCCACUAAACCCCUGACAGGAGGCACCAAGACAAUGUUCUCAUCAUAAAACCAUCGGAACGAUUCCAAGAUACCCGCAUGAUCCUAAAUUUUUUUAGUGAAAUUUGAGGAGAGGAAAGUCAAAACUUCUACGUCAGGAUGCCUUACCAGAGCGAUGAAGAGAUUGGGGAUUAAAAAGAAUUCCUAACUCUCCGAUAUAUAUAAUCCUAAAUGACUCAAAACAUUUUUCUAGACACAACUCGGCCGCUAAAAACGAUCAAACAGUGGGGCUCCUAAGGUCGGGGAAGGCUCUGAUUACCAACUUGUAACGCCCUCAAUGCGGCUAUAUCUCCCACGUGUCGAAGCAUGACUUAGAGGCAUAACCGCAUUGAAAGCAAUGUCGCAAGUGAGGUAAUCUUCACACAACCCAUGUAAUACAUAAGGGAAAGAGAUACAUAGUUGGCUUACAAUCGCCACUUCACACAAUUACAUGAAUAAAGCAUUACAUCAUCCAGAUACAAUCAAGGUCCGACUACGGAACCAAAAUAAAAGAAGAACCCCAAAUGCGACAAAGGUCCCCGAUCGACCCCAACUGGGCUCCACUACUGAUCAACUAAAACGAAACAACACAAAGGGCAAGAUCUUCAUCGAGCUCCUCCUUGAGCUUGGUUGCAUCGCCUGCUCGGUAACAUAGGCACCUGCAAACUGGUUUUGGAAGUAUCUGGUGAGCCACGGGGACUCAGCAAUCUCACACCCGCGAGAUCAAGACUAUUUAAGCUUAUGGGUAAGGUAAAGGCAUGAGGUGGAACUGCAGCAAGCGACUAGCACAUAUGGUGGCUAACAUACGCAAAUGAGAGCGAGAAGAGAAGGCAAAGCACGGUCGAUAAAAGUAUGAUCAAGAAGUGAUCCUAUAGCAACCUACGUCAAGCAUAACUCCAACACCGUGUUCACUUCCCGGACUCCGCCGGAAAGAGACCAUCAUGGUUACACACGCGGUUGAUGUAUUUUAAUUAAGGUCAACUUCGGGUUUUCUACAACCGGACAUUAACAAAUUCCCAUCUGCCACAUAACCGCGGGCACGGCUCUCGAAAGUUUAUAACCCUGCAGGGGUGUCCCAACUUAGCCCAUGACAAGCUCUCACGAUCAACGAAGGAAUAGACCUUCACCCGAGACACUCCGAUCAGACUCGGUAUCCCGGUACAUCAAGACAUUUCGACAAUGGUAAAACAAGACCAGCAAAGCCGCCCGAAUGUGCCGACAAAUCCUGAUAGGAGCUACACAUAUCUCGUUCUCAGGGCACACCGGAUUGUCCAAACUUCCGGUAGGCCAGCCCAGAGUUGCCCCUGGUGGCCACCGGCGGUUGACGGUUUGGACCAACACUCACAACGAGCACUGGCCCGGGGGGUAAAU